AAAUUGAAGAGUUUGAUCAUGGCUCAGAUUGAACGCUGGCGGCAGGCCUAACACAUGCAAGUCGAACGGUAACAGGAAGCAGCUUGCUGCUUUGCUGACGAGUGGCGGACGGGUGAGUAAUGUCUGGGAAACUGCCUGAUGGAGGGGGAUAACUACUGGAAACGGUGGCUAAUACCGCAUAAU
Molecule: ribosomal RNA, 183 nt
Filed under: Salmonella enterica
Lineage: Bacteria; Pseudomonadati; Pseudomonadota; Gammaproteobacteria; Enterobacterales; Enterobacteriaceae
Also listed under: 1 other name
Description: partial 16S ribosomal RNA
Rfam family: Bacterial small subunit ribosomal RNA
Source: RNAcentral